GAUGAACGCUAGCUACAGGCUUAACACAUGCAAGUCGAGGGGCAGCAUGAACAUAGCUUGCUAUGUUUGAUGGCGACCGGCGCACGGGUGCGUAACACGUAUCCAAUCUGCCCGUCACUCGGGGAUAGCCUUCUGAAAGGAAGAUUAAUACCCGAUGGCAUGCAUUUCCGGCAUCGGAGAUGCAUUAAAGAUUCAUCGGUGACGGAUGAGGAUGCGUACGAUUAGCUUGUUGGCGGGUAACGGCCCACCAAGGCAACGAUCGUUAGGGGUUCUGAGAGGAAGGUCCCCCACACUGGUACUGAGACACGGACCAGACUCCUACGGGAGGCAGCAGUGAGGAAUAUUGGUCAAUGGGCGCAAGCCUGAACCAGCCAAGUCGCGUGAGGGAAGACGGCCCUACGGGUUGUAAACCUCUUUUGUCGGGAGCAAAUUGAUGACGCGUCAUCAGGUGAGAGUACCUUACGAAUAAGCAUCGGCUAAUUCCG
RNAcentral lists this ribosomal RNA (485 nucleotides) under uncultured bacterium. Its description in RNAcentral is "bacterial SSU rRNA". It matches the Rfam family "Bacterial small subunit ribosomal RNA", at positions 28 to 505 of the family's 1533-position model. The record is from RNAcentral.